Molecule: long non-coding RNA, 470 nt
Organism: Brassica napus (rape)
Lineage: Eukaryota; Viridiplantae; Streptophyta; Magnoliopsida; Brassicales; Brassicaceae
Exons: 2
Source: RefSeq, a predicted model, not a curated record
AAAAAUAAUUAGUUUACGCAUAUGACAUUUACCAUUAUAUUUAUUUAUAGAAACAUAAGUGAACGAGUCUAAAGCUUUCACGUAUUAGAUGAGCAAGAAAAAUGGAAAUUUUUCAAAAUUAGAUUCGGUUAAAGCGGAACAUAAUAAAGUGAAUUGCUUAAAUUAGCUAUUUUAGCUAUAUAUAUAUAUAUUCAUGUUACCAAAACAGAAAAAUACAUCACCUUUCCUUUUAGAGUUUAAAAUCAUUAUCAAUUCACUUCUGUCAUAUACGAUGAAGAAAACCCCUCAACUCUCGUUUACAGUCUUUACUAUCUUCAUCAUUCUUGUGUUAGGAACGAUGGCAAAUGCAAAAGAAAAGGGCAAAUUGUGUGAUCAAAUACAACUCCCUGUAAACAAAGAUGGGUUGUGUGUUGAUUCUGAAUGCCAAAAUAAGUGUCGCGAGGCAAAAGGACCGAAGGGGUUGAGUAAAU